GUGAUAGCUGGUUCUCCCCGAAAGCUAUUUAGGUAGC
Molecule: small RNA, 37 nt
Filed under: Bombyx mori (domestic silkworm)
Lineage: Eukaryota; Metazoa; Arthropoda; Insecta; Lepidoptera; Bombycidae
Description: ovarian small RNA-17854
Source: RNAcentral